GAUGAACGCUGGCGGCGUGCUUAACACAUGCAAGUCGAACGAUGAAGCCCAGCUUGCUGGGUGGAUUAGUGGCGAACGGGUGAGUAACACGUGAGUAACCUGCCCUUAACUCUGGGAUAAGCCUGGGAAACUGGGUCUAAUACCGGAUAGGAGCGUCCACCGCAUGGUGGGUGUUGGAAAGAUUUAUCGGUUUUGGAUGGACUCGCGGCCUAUCAGCUUGUUGGUGAGGUAAUGGCUCACCAAGGCGACGACGGGUAGCCGGCCUGAGAGGGUGACCGGCCACACUGGGACUGAGACACGGCCCAGACUCCUACGGGAGGCAGAAGUGGGGAAUAUUGCACCAUGGGCGCAAGCCUGAUGCAGCGACGCCGCGUGAGGGAUGACGGCCUUCGGGUUGUAAACCUCUUUCAGUAGGGAAGAAGCGAAAGUGACGGUACCUGCAGAAGAAGCACCGGCUAACUACGUG
RNAcentral lists this ribosomal RNA (466 nucleotides) under uncultured bacterium. RNAcentral's name for it is "partial 16S ribosomal RNA". It matches the Rfam family "Bacterial small subunit ribosomal RNA", at positions 28 to 507 of the family's 1533-position model. The record is from RNAcentral.